UUUAAAAUUUAAAAAAUCAAAACACUCUUCCUCGUUGUACUCUCUCCUACGCUACUUCGCCUCUCCUGGCCGUUUGGUUCCGGCGCCACUCCGAGCGAUUGACGAAAGCGUUCAUAUCAGCUGCCCCCUCGUUGCUCGUGCUCACGGUCUCGAUCUGGUGAUGGAUGAUUUAUUUUGGGAGUUAAGGUUCUUAUGCUGACUGAAAUUUAGGGUUUUGAGGAAAUUGCAGGGUCUAGUGUCGGGUUUCACUCCCUACCUGCAUAUUUGUAUUGUUUUUUUUUUUCCUUCUUCUUCUCGAGAGGUAUCGUUCAAAUUGAGGGAUUUUGUCAUUUCUUGUUCCCGGAAUUUGAAGUGAACAAAACUGCGCAUUUGUGGGCGUUUUUGGGCAAACUGGUGGGCAAAAGUUAGCUCCGUGACUCACUGUCCAUGUGAGAUCGGAGACACCUGUCACAGGAGAAAAUAAAUUCGAGGUUUUGAUUUCGACGGUGUAUAAGAGAACCAUUGGAGUAUAUGGCGAGUUUUCUAGGGUGAUACUUAUUUGAGAUUAUUGGAGGCAUCUUUAGCUCGAUAGUGCUUUCUGAAAGAUUUAGACGGAUGUUUCCUGCUGGAACCGAACGUACACAAGAUGCAGGUGGAAUUUCAGGUAGCUUGUUAAUUCCAUGGAACUUUGUCUGGCGUUAUGGUGGGAAUAGGGUUUUUGUGAUUGGCUCAUUUACAAGGUGGACUGAACGUGUAGAAAUGGUUCCCUUAGAGGGAGACCCUACUGUAUUUCAGGUUAUGUGGAGUUUGUCACCUGGCAUUCAUCAGUAUAUGUUCUUUGUGGAUGGUGCAUGGCGGCAUGAUGAGCAGCAACCUCAUAUGAUGAGUACUUAUGGGAUAGUUAACACUCUUAUUCUUGACCAAGACGCUAAUCAUGUACACACUCUUUUAAGUUCUGAGCUACCUGGUAAUAGAAUGAGCAUGGAUGUGGACCAUGAGAACUUCCGAAUUGUGGUGUCGAAUUUGAGGAUUUCAGAGGCUGAUAUUGGAAUAUCUCGUGAUUGCAUUUCUGAAUUCUUGUCUACCCAUUCUGCUUAUGAGUUGCUUCCUGAUUCAGGGAAGGUUAUAGCUCUUGAAGUCAGUUUGCCGGUAAAGCAAGCAUUCCAUAUCCUUUAUGAGCAGGGUAUUCCCGUUGCUCCCUUACUGGAUACUUGCAGUGGAGAAUUUGUUGGAGUACUCAGUCCAUUGGAUUUUAUAUUAAUUCUGAAAGAGCUUAGCAAUCGUGGCUCAAAUUUAACAGAAGAAGAACUCGAGACGCAUACUAUUUCUGCCUGGAAAGAGGCAAAGCAACAGCUAUCGAGUCAAAUGGUUUUGCAUGGACAGUCUCAGAGACAGUUAAUCCAUGCUGGGCCCUAUGAUUCAUUGAAAGAAGUAGCACUGAAAAUAUUGCAAAAUCGCAUCACGACAAUUCCAAUAGUUCGUUCAUUGUUGCAAGAGGAUUCUUUCCCACAUUUGCUUCAUCUUGCAUCCCUUUCGGGAAUAUUAAGAUGUAUCUGCAGACAUUUUAGGCAUUCAACUACUUCAGUGCCCAUUUUGCAACAAGCAAUAUUUACUAUUCCCUUGGGCACAUGGGUUUCUAGAAUUGGUGAAUCAAAUGGGAAUCAGCUGGCAAAGUUGAAACCAAAUGAAUCACUAAGUCGCGCUCUUACACUCUUGGUGGAAGCUGAAGUUAGUUCGAUACCAAUAGUUGAUGACAAUGACCGUUUACUAGACACAUAUUCUAGAAGUGACAUCAUAUCUUUGGCUAAAGACAAGGUUUAUGCACGAAUUCACCUGGAUGAAACAAGUAUUUACCAGUUAAAUUUCAGGCAUUGCAGCUCAGAAACAAUGCAAGUCCAUCUCAUGGAUCUGUAACCGGGCAGCGCUUCCAUACAUGUCUCCGCUCGGAUUCUCUGCUGAAAGUAAUGGAACAAUUGGCAACUCCUGGGGUGCGACGUGUGAUUAUUGUGGAAGCUGCAACUAAUCACGUCGAAGGCAUAAUCUCUCUGAGUGAUGUAUUCAGAUUCCUGUUCAGCAUGCCAUAAGUGAACAAAAUCGUUCAUUGGAUCAUUUAAUUCUCUGCCAAAGUUGCUUAGCCCACGGCUUUUAGAAACACUAAUGAAAUUAUUUGUGCAAAUGUUCUCCCCCUCUUGUUUUCGGUCUUGAUUUCAAUAGGCCCCAUUGUUUAGAUCCUGGCCUCUCCAAUUCCAUACCAAGAUCUGUAGAUGAGAUGAACUAGUUUUGAUUCCUUUCCAAUAGUUUAAUGCCAAUGGUUCACCAUAUAUAUCUUGAACACAUGAGACUAUGGAAUACCAUUAAUGUUAUAGCCAAACAGCAUUAUGUUGAUUUA
Molecule: RNA transcript, 2368 nt
Organism: Zingiber officinale
Lineage: Eukaryota; Viridiplantae; Streptophyta; Magnoliopsida; Zingiberales; Zingiberaceae
Gene name: sucrose nonfermenting 4-like protein
Exons: 14
Source: RefSeq, a predicted model, not a curated record